Molecule: ribosomal RNA, 253 nt
Filed under: uncultured bacterium
Lineage: Bacteria
Description: partial 16S ribosomal RNA
Rfam family: Bacterial small subunit ribosomal RNA
Source: RNAcentral
UACGAAGGGGGUUAGCGUUGUUCGGAAUUACUGGGCGUAAAGCGCACGUAGGCGGGUCUGUAAGUAGAGGGUGAAAUCCCAGGGCUCAACCCUGGAACUGCCUUCUAGACUGCAGGCCUCGAGGUCAGGAGAGGCGAGUGGAAUACCGAGUGUAGAGGUGAAAUUCGUAGAUAUUCGGUGGAACACCAGUGGCGAAGGCGACUCGCUGGACUGAUACUGACGCUGAGGUGCGAAAGCGUGGGGAGCAAACAGG